RNAcentral lists this unclassified non-coding RNA (5363 nucleotides) under Daphnia pulicaria. RNAcentral describes it as "adenylate cyclase type 2-like, transcript variant X2". The record is from RNAcentral. Lineage: Eukaryota; Metazoa; Arthropoda; Branchiopoda; Diplostraca; Daphniidae.
CUUUCGCUGGGUCGUAUCAAGUAGCUAAGAUCUCAGCGCAACUCAGCUUGGAUCACAACUUGAUACAUUUUCUCUCGUCUGCUCAGUGAUUUAAAUCGAUACAUAUAUCGUCUUGCAGCCAGCUUUUAUAGUGACGCUCUUUUUGUUUUUGAAACAUGGCGAUUUCUCAACAGCCACGCAUAUUGACAAUUGCUACGGUCAUAAGUGAAGUGAUACAACAGAAUACUGAUGAAUGUGAUGUUAUUUGUCACGAGUUCAGCCAACCUCUUAUUGCUUAACAAGACAUUUUAAAUUCAGGGCGAGAUGGUACAAGUCAAUUCACUGGGAUUGAAGACUAUAUCGAUAGCUAAGCAAAUUCUUACAAUGUAUAUAUUAUUUUUUCCAUUCUCCGUAAUGAAAUGCUUCUAAAAAAAUGUAACUUCUUCUUUAUUUAUACUUUUAUAUUUAUAGUUGCAUUUGCAUUUCAUGUAUUUAUUUGAAAACAAUUUAAAUUUUGCAGCAUUUCAUAUUUCCGCUUUUAUAUUGACUUCGUCUGCUUGGCAGUAAAAACUCCCUGUAUAUCAGUGAUCCAAGCUGAGAUCUUAGUUACUUGAUACGACCCUGGUUGCUAUCGUUAGUCGUUACGCAGCAGAUAAAAAGUCCGUAACGGUGGCAACUGGCAACCAAAAUAAAGCCUAGGGGUUACUAAGUAGGAGGGGGGAAAUUUCCUCAGACUGUGUGUUCUCAGAGUCUGCCAGCAAAGUGAAAAGCAUAUAGACAAGAUCCUCAAUAUUGCAAGAUCUCUGGCAUUGAGAACUUUGGGGAGUAGCCUAUGGCAAUUCUGAUCAGAAAUCAGUGCAUUACAGCAUUCACAACAGUUUGGACAACACACAAUGCUCCCCUGUCGAGUUAGAGGCAGCCAUCUACGCCGCAUCCAAGUUUGCCACACAGUCUCGAACCUUUUCCGUCCACAUGCGCAGUAAAAUUGCCGAAAUGAUUUAGGAUCUGGCCACACCUGUAAAUACCAAGCUCAAGCUCAAGCUCAUCCCCAUCUUGCAGUACAUGCACCAUGAUGCUUACACGGCCGCCAUAGUUCGACGUUUGUGCACCCAGCUACCCAGCCCCAAAAUUUCGUCUGUGUAACACUUCACACACUAACUCUGAUGACUAGUGAAACUCUAGUCGAAUUCCCGCAAUAGCUACUCCUGCUUCUUGAAUAUCUUGUUCGAUUCAAGUUUUGUCCAACUUAAAUUUUGUCUGUCAAAGUUGCCCAUCUGUGGACUACUUCUAACGUGGAUGGACUCUUUGGCCUACUGCUUGAUCAACCUAAUCUCGAAUUGCAUAGAUUAGAAGGACACUGGACGUUCUAGUUACCCUAGCCAUGGCUGAAGCCUCGAACUGUUUUUUCCUCAAGGCCGAUACAAAGUUACACUUGAUUUGGAAUCAGUGUUGCUACACUUGUGACCAAUCUGAUGCAGCAAAAGCAGUUCAGCUACUUGUUCAACUUGUAGUUAUAUCUAGCAAACAAUAUUCUUUUUCGUCCUCAGCGCCCGAUUAAAGCCAAGACGCUGCCCAUGCUGUUGAAUCGCUCAUAUUUGGCCUCUGCUUAUUGGGAAAGACCGAAGAGAGGAAACUCAAGAAUGCGUUGAAAUCAGCCGCCCAGCUGAGUCGUGUCGCCAGAAAUCAGCGCCACCAUCAUUGAUUGCCUCAUUCGCUUGUUGCCUCAAUCUUCCGGUUCCAUGUUAGUCCUGCUGUGACAGGCUCUGGCUACCAUCGGAAAUACUCAACCGGCCGCCAUUGUCCGCAUCUGCAGCAUUGGUCGCUAUUCAUAGCAACCGGCCGCCAUUGUGGUUUUCUUCCGUUCGACGAAAACUUGUUCAGCUGUUGUCACUUCUGGCCGCCGUCGCGGUCCGCCGUCCUAACAUUCGUUCUCGUCGCGGUGGAUCUCGGGCAGGACCUCUGGUUCGCCUAUCACAACUCCAGACGAAGUCUUCAUUUUUCAGGUUCCUGCUUCUCUCUACAUGAUCCUGGCCGCCUACAAUUUGCUACCGACAAUGUUAAUCGGCUUUUUCGUCGCUAUCGUUCACUUGACAGCGAACGCGUUACUCUUUCAGACGAGAAAAUCGGUCAACAACGAAGUUGACAUUUCUCUGAUCAUGGCUGAUGUCGGAUUUUAUCUGACAGCCAACGUUGUCGGCAUUUUCACCAAUUGCCUGAACGAGACUACGCUGAGAUGGGCCUUUCUCGACCGUCGCUGGUGCAUCGAGUCCACCAUCAAAUUGGACUACGAGAAGAGUCAAGAAGAACAGCUGAUGCUGUCCAUCUUGCCCAAACACAUCGCCCACGACGUGGGCACCGACAUCAGGGAGGAAGUCUAGUUGAUGACGAGAUCCAAAAUGUCGCCGUCGUCCAGGAAACCGUUCGAACAGUUACACGUCGAGAUGAUCCGGAAGUCAGUGUUCUUUACGCCGAUAUCGUCAACUUUACUCUGUUGACUGCAGCCCUCUCGGCGUCCAGCCUCAUCUCCAUGCUCAACGAAUUUUUUGGCAAAUUCAACGAGGCUGCCAAAGAAAUCGAUUGUUUAAGAAUUAAAAUCCUCGGUGACUGUUAUUGCUGCGUGUCUAGAAUACCGGACUCGACCACCACCCAUGCUAAGAAUUUUGUCGGAAUGGGAUUCAAGAUGAUUGAAAUCUAUCGCCAAAUUAGAGAGGAUCGCCAAGUGGAUGUGGACAUACGGAUCGGCAUUCAUAGUAGCAGCGAGCAGCGUUAUCAGUGGUCUGCCUUCGCAAGUGGCAGUUUGAUAUCUGGACCCGUGACGUGAUCAUCGCCAAUCACAUCAAACAAUCGAUGUGUGCAACCAAGAAUCUGCUGGGGGAUUCUAAUCAAUUUAAUCCCGGGAACGGAAUGAAACGUGAUACUUACCUGGCAAAACUGGGAAUUGAGACCUUUCUAGUCGUUUCAACCAACGCCAAUCAAUCGAAGGAAUCUGGAGUCUAAAGGAUCAAAGUUAAAGCCGAUCCUUUCGCAUCGCUUCCCCGUAUGAACGCUGUUGUUGCUAUGACUUAUGAGUUAUGAAGUAGCUUCCACAAAAAAUCAUUGGGUUGACUGUGAAACAAACAAUUAACUCAAUAACGAUGCUGAAAAUUGAAAACUCAUCGCUUGACAGUCUCUACGAUUGACUCCCGCCAAGCCUUCCAGUAGCGGUUGCUUACCGUAUUCCGCCAUCGUCAUCAUUACGUCACAUCUAUGCGAAAAUGCGACAGUCAUCACUAGCGACAGGUGACGAACAUUCUGAGGAAAUUUACAUCCGGCUAGUGAAAAAUCCCAGGAAAUCUAGUGUGGCUAGCGGAACUGGAAGACGACUCUUUGCCAGGAGGCGAUCGACGACUGGUGAAAACACCUCACGACGGGGUGCAGUUUUGAUGGACAACACUUUAGUCAGUUUCCGGCGGAUGAUGGACCAAGCCGAUUCUAAGAUGGAAAAAUCCAUCGAAUCCAUGUUAUUAUCAAAAGUCAGAAGACGAUCCAGGGCGACUCCGGACCAGGAAUCGCACGUCAACCUUUUUCUUUUCUUCUCCAACCGAUCCUGGGAACUUCCUUUUUUGCAGCGUCCGGAUCCUUUGUUCAACCUUUACGUCUUGGGUGCCAUUCCAGUUCUGAUUGGGAUCAUGACCAUUCAGCUCACUCUCUAUAGUAGUGGCCCCCGGACAUUCUGGUUGGCCUUUGGGAUAGCCUUGAUUAUUGUGGUGUUAGUUGGCAUGUGCUUGUGGGUGCCCCAGAUUUGGUACUACAGUAGGAACUCUAUUAACGACGACCCGGAAAAUGUAUUUGAAAGCCUCUCUGUUUCUCCCGAGCCGAUCCAGCUCGACCGUCUCAGCAGCGUUUUUCAAGCUGGAUUCUUUUUGUUCAUCCCUAACGACCCGGACCCUUAUCUUUCUCGUGGUUACGGUGGCCGUUGGUGCUUGUGGUCUAGUUGAUCUGGACCAUGUCAAAGAAUCAAAUAAUACAUCAAAAGCAAUGACAGAGAAUGCGACCGGCCAGUGCAACUUCCAAGAUUCUCGCAUUUACCUCUGGCUAUAUGAUGGUCGAGAAGAAUGCCUCUUAUGCCAAGCUAGUCCAUCUGUUCAGCCGGAACUCAGUCAUGCUUUAUGUCUGUUGACUAUCCUCAUGAUUUUGCACGUGGCCGACCGUCAGAUUGAAUUCAUCAACCGGCUAGAUUACGUGUGGCAGCGUCAGCUGGCCAAUGAACAGGAGGAAGAUAAAACCACCAGAAUCGUCAACAAGAUGUUGCUUCUAAACAUCUUGCCCCAUCACGUUGCUGAUGUUUAUCUAGAUACAUCCCGCUGCAGUGAACAACUGUAUCACGAAGAACACAAACGAGUGGCCGUCAUGUUUGCCUCUAUUCCAAAUUUUAUGGACUAUUUCGCAGAAAAUGACAUCGACGAUCGUUGCUUAGGAGUCCUUAACUCGAUCAUCAGCGCGUUUGAUGCGUUGUCAUUCGAGGAAUCGUUCUGCCGCAUUGAGAAAAUCAAAAUUGUGGGCAGCACCUACAUGGCAGCAUCAGGUCUCACGGCUGUCCUCAAUGGAUCGACUGCUGAGACGGUUGCGGAAAGCGAAUCGCGCGUUAUCGCACUGAUCACCAUGAUUAGGUUUGCUUUGGCAAUGUGCACGGUACUCGACCAGCUGAAUCGAAAGCAAGCGCACAACUUCCAACAAGCGCCCAACUUCCAACUGCGGAUCGGAAUUGAAUACGGACCGGUUAUUGCAGGAGUUGUCGGAGCGCAAAAGCCGCUUUACGACAUUUGGGGCGAUACGGUCAACAUGGCAUCCCGGUUGGAGUACACUAGUCAAUUGGGUGAAAUUCAAGUUACAGAAAAGACGGCCAAAUUACUGGAAGCUGUUGGCAUCCACUGUGAGAAGCGAGGCGAAACGUUCUUGAAAGGCAAAGGCCUCGUUAUGACGUACUGGGUGCGUCCGGAGGAGUUAGAUUCCUACGAUUCUCUUCAAAAUUCCUCGGCGCGAUUAAGAGCUUCCUCAUCGGUUUGAGCGACAUGUUAUUGACAUCAACUUCGGCUCGCAGUUCACUAAGCCGCAAACCAAUCGGCUGUCCGUUCUGAUUGAAGAAGACAAAGGAGAACGUUCCAGUCAAAAAGCUUUUGUCGUCUUGUUCUAGAGUGGGAGCUAAUCUAAUCCAGCUCUUACAUCACCUCUUCUCAUGAAAUUCGAGUUGUAAGAAGAUGUCGAUAUUGUGUCACUGUCGAAUGAAGACGUUAAUUUAGAUAUUUAUGAUGAAGAUUAAAUGACGCACCUCUAAAAAAAAUUCCCCUUUUUUAAUUCUUUUUUUUAACUCAACUGCCUCACCGGUAAAGUUCUAAGGCACUCAA